Molecule: ribosomal RNA, 1820 nt
Filed under: Triticum aestivum (bread wheat)
Lineage: Eukaryota; Viridiplantae; Streptophyta; Magnoliopsida; Poales; Poaceae
Description: partial small subunit ribosomal RNA
Source: RNAcentral
UGCGCGCCUUCCGGCUAACCUUGAGAUAUGCGCCUUGGCCUUCACGGGAGAGGAAAGAGUCGUAGCAGCGGGGCGUUUGGAUCGCACGAGGGGCGGCGGCUGCUGUCGCGGGGUCGGGAGGUGAGGCCGCUGGCCGCCACGUGGAGCCGCAAGAAGAGGGGGUGCAUAAGUUGGCGCCGUCCGUGAGUCGUUAGUCCGUUGUGAGUCCGGAUCAACUGCUAUGUUCUACCGCGGUGAUCGUGCAUUCGUGGCGUUCCGUAGUGGAAGGGGGAGGGGGAGCCUCCGAAGAAGGUUAAGUCCGUCGCUGAGACUUGAGGUGGAACUACUGGUGAGGCUGGGUCUCCUGUCGAAGAAGAGGUGUUCCUCGCGGCGGCUACUGCUGCAGGUCCUUAGGAGGUGGUCACUGCUCCUCCUCCUGCUACUCCUCUCGGAGGUACUCCUCCUCCUACUACCACUCUACCCUCUCGAGCUCGUCGUCAUAGCGUGGGAGGUCCGGUUAGUUGUUUCGUAAGAAGUUUGGGACUUUGUUGUGUCCCUACUACUACAGAGUUCUCCGGUCCGUUAGUUUUUGGUUUUCCGCGAUACCCUAUUCUGGGACCUUUACUCUAAGAACGACGUUUUCCGUAAGAGGUGAAGUUUGUUCGAAGGGUUCCUAGGUAGGUUCAGUUCCAAGACGUCAGUACUAGUCCUCUAUCUCGUUCGUAUACAACUAGACAACCUGAGUAGCUUUGUCUGAGAGCCAACGUACGACCUCGACGUCUUCCGAAAUGACCUCGUCUUAGUCCGACGUUUCCCACGCUUGCUAUGUAACGGACUGAGCUUACCUCUCUCACUGCUCACCAACGUUCAUGUCUUUAACGUAUGUUCUUAUUGGGGAAAGUCUUUAUGGCUCUAUCUAUUUACCGUCUCCUUUUGUGUGCAGUGUUGACCUCGACGACGUGACUUUCCUUUCAACGUGCGUAAAUUAGUCUUGUAUUCACUGGUUCAACGACCAAUGUACUCUCUGGGUUCGUCCUACUAAGUGGCCUACAUGAACGCCUUUAGACUACAACCACAUAAGCCCCUCUCACGUCGUCUCGGACGAUGAUGGCAACUCCCCUUCCUACACCUUCCACUAGGACUUGAAUAACUACUAAGACUUAAAAUGGUAGUUGAAGAGUUCCUCAAAGAGCUCAGUACACUAUUACCUCGUAGACUCAGACGUAAAAUACGAGAUUCCUUCUUCGUCUUGUUCUUCUCCUUUGAGCAGCUAGCGGCGCGAAGUUUCUCGUCUUUCUAUUCCAUGUCGCAAGUGCUCUUCUAACGAUUAAAGUACCGGGGCCACGGAUACUGCCAAGGAGGUUACCGAAGCUUUAACAAGCUCUUAAACAAACCUUACCCGUUGGACGUCUUCAGUCGGCGCCAGACUAAAAUUCUCUACAGACUUUACAACAAUUUCGAUCAAAGUGCACUACCCACCAUUAUACACUUUGCCUUCAUUAUGGUGUUUUGAACAUGGGUCUGUACGGACCGGAUACAUACUCCUACUCACAGUACUUAUAAUGAGGGAGGCAGGGUAUUAUAUCCUGCAAAGACCUGUGAUACGAUCACAGUUUUUUGCAGAAUGUAAUACCCUGCCUCCUUCAUCAACGACUAGACUAAUCAUUCUACGGAAGCUUAAGAAGUAGACAAUUUGUAUUGUCUCUUAAUCGUUCUCUUAACAGCGACAUAAGAAGUUGACACCUGAUACUUCGGUUCAAAGAAAAACGGGGAAAAAAACACGAACCCAUACCUUCGUUCCAGUAUCGUAACGAAGACGUUUCGUUAUUUGUAGUUGCGGG